GAUGAACGCUGGCGGCGUGCUUAACACAUGCAAGUCGAACGAUGAAGCCCAGCUUGCUGGGUGGAUUAGUGGCGAACGGGUGAGUAACACGUGAGUAACCUGCCCUUAACUCUGGGAUAAGCCUGGGAAACUGGGUCUAAUACCGGAUAGGAGCGUCCACCGCAUGGUGGGUCUUGGAAAGAUUUAUCGGUUUUGGAUGGACUCGCGGCCUAUCAGCUUGUUGGUGAGGUAAUGGCUCACCAAGGCGACGACGGGUAGCCGGCCUGAGAGGGUGACCGGCCACACUGGGACUGAGACACGGCCCAGACUCCUACGGGAGGCAGCAGUGGGGAAUAUUGCACAAUGGGCGCAAGCCUGAUGCAGCGACGCCGCGUGAGGGAUGACGGCCUUCGGGUUGUAAACCUCUUUCAGUAGGGAAGAAGCGAAAGUGACGGUACCUGCAGAAGAAGCACCGGCUAACUACGUG
Molecule: ribosomal RNA, 466 nt
Filed under: uncultured bacterium
Lineage: Bacteria
Description: partial 16S ribosomal RNA
Rfam family: Bacterial small subunit ribosomal RNA
Source: RNAcentral